RNAcentral lists this long non-coding RNA (838 nucleotides) under Manacus vitellinus (golden-collared manakin). RNAcentral describes it as "lncRNA (ENSMVIG00005009949.1)". Lineage: Eukaryota; Metazoa; Chordata; Aves; Passeriformes; Pipridae. The record is from RNAcentral.
UGGGAGCAUCCCUGGGCAGUGGAUUCCCCUAAACCCGCCGUCAAUCCCUGGAUCCCGUCUCUCCGCAGCCCCCUCAGCCCCUCGGGAUGGCCGCGUGUCUCCGGGCAGCGUUCCAGGCCCUGCGCCGGCCCCGUGGCUGUGCCCGGGUGGAUUUCUCCCAGCCCUUCUCCUUACAGGUACGGCAGCUGGGGAUGUCCCCGGAUCCGUCCUGGCACUGGGGGGCUGUUCCCAGGAUGUUGGUGGGUUUGGGGUGUCUGAGGGUAUCCAGUGAAUCCAUUGCUGGGUGAUCUGGGCUCCUCCCAGCCCUGGGGCUGCAGGGAUUGAGUGAGCUCGUGGUGCUGAGGGCUGUGAGCACCUCCAGGCUCCUUUCUGCUCAUUCCCAGGAAUUUGUGGAGAACAACCUGGUGGGGCCGACGCUCAGAGGGAAUCGGCCGGAGCAGCUGCUGCUUCCCACCAUCCUUGGCACGUGGUGAGGAGCUGAGCCCCGGGCAGCGUUUCCCCCUGGAUCUCUGCUCCCGGCUCCUCUUGCUCAGCCCUCUCCCCCAAUGUCCCAGCGUGCCAGAUGCGGGGAAUGUGGGCACUUUGGGUGCCGGUGUGGGGACAGAAGAGGAGAUUUUGGUGACGGCGCUGGGGCUGCACACACUGAGCGAUUCCAGCGCCUGCUCCGCCAUCAUGGCUGUGGGAAUCACCGCGGCGCUGCUGCUCCACAGGCACCGGGAGGCCGUGCUGCUGCCCCGGCUGAUGCGGGAUUUCUCGGGGCUGCUGGAGCAGCUCCUGCUGCGGGGCCGGGCCGUGGGAUUCCGCGGGCAGCUGCGGGCGCUGGUGCUGCACAGCCUGC